CUUCACUGCCAUUGCUACACCAGUUCUCCGCUCCAAACACCCUGGCAGUCAUCAGCGCAUCUCAAGGCAAGCCAUCUCCUGCGGAAGCCCCAGGGCCUGAGGCAGAAUCUACUGGCGAGAAGUGAUCACAAAUCCAGCUCCUCCCGGGACCACACCAUUCCUAGAAUCUAACCUGGGAUUGUUGGCUCCAGUUAACUAAGGCAACCAGGCAUCAAGGACAGACCAACAGAAAACUUCACUCAAUACUGUGUUCCAUCUUCCAGAUAAGUCACCAGAGGCCACAAACUCUAGAAGUGUCAUUAAAUUUAGUCCAUUUGAUCAUUGUCUGCUAAAAAUAUGUAGAAAUCAGAAUUGUUGAUCAAAAUACAAGUUGGAACAUGAUGGGGUACUACAUGCUCCUAAGUGAAGUGGUGAAAUAUUUAUUAAGCACUGGAUUGGGAUGUUUCAUUCAUUAAGUCGUCCAAUCUCAUAAGGACUGCAUAAAGUAGAUAUUUAGAUGUCGUUUUUCAAGUAAGAAAACAGAAGCUUAGCAAGUGUAAAUAAUUUUUCUGAGGCCACCCGCUUACUGAAUGACUGCAUCAAGAUUUGAACUCAGAACCAGGCACAGUGGCUCACACCUAUAAUCCUAACACUUUGGGAGGGCAAGGCAGGAGGAUCACUUGAGGCCAGGAGUUUGAGACCAGCCUAGGCAACAUAGUGAGACCCGUAUCUCUACAAAAAAAUUAAAAAUUAGCUUAGUGUGAUGCACCUGUAGUCCCAGUUACUCAGAAGGCUGAAGCAGGAGGAUGGCUUGAGCCCAAGAGUUCAAGGCUACAGUGAGCUGUAAUCACACCACUACACUCCAGCCUAGGCUACAGAGCAAGACCCUGUCUCUAUAAAGAAAAAAAAAGAUUUGAACUCAGGUCCUUCUUCUUCAAAGCCUCCCAUCUUUUCACGUACUAUGAGGCCCACACUCCUCCCACCAACAGAGGUUGCUAAGAUUAGUGAGCCACAGCCGAGGAGUCAGCACUUCUGAGAAAGCCGAGGGCAGAGGCAUUGCU
RNAcentral lists this long non-coding RNA (1040 nucleotides) under Macaca mulatta (Rhesus monkey). RNAcentral describes it as "lncRNA (ENSMMUG00000054381.1)". The record is from RNAcentral. Lineage: Eukaryota; Metazoa; Chordata; Mammalia; Primates; Cercopithecidae.